UACGGAGGAUGCGAGCGUUAUCCGGAUUUAUUGGGUUUAAAGGGUGCGUAGGCGGACUGUCAAGUCAGCGGUAAAAUUGAGAGGUUCAACCUCUUCCCGCCGUUGAAACUGGUGGUCUUGAGUGGAUGAGAAGUACGCGGAAUGCGUGGUGUAGCGGUGAAAUGCAUAGAUAUCACGCAGAACCCCGAUUGCGAAGGCAGCAUGCCGGCUUCCUACUGACGCUGAAGCACGAAAGCGUGGGGAUCGAACAGG
This 252-nucleotide ribosomal RNA is filed under the name uncultured bacterium. RNAcentral describes it as "partial 16S ribosomal RNA". It matches the Rfam family "Bacterial small subunit ribosomal RNA", at positions 524 to 776 of the family's 1533-position model. The record is from RNAcentral.